This 253-nucleotide ribosomal RNA is filed under the name uncultured bacterium. Its description in RNAcentral is "partial 16S ribosomal RNA". It matches the Rfam family "Bacterial small subunit ribosomal RNA", at positions 524 to 776 of the family's 1533-position model. The record is from RNAcentral.
UACGUAGGGUGCGAGCGUUAGUCGGAAUUACUGGGCGUAAAGCGCACGUAGGCGGCUUUGUAAGUUAGGGGUGAAAGCCCGGAGCUCAACUCCGGAAUUGCCUUUAAGACUGCAUCGCUUGAAUCCGGGAGAGGUGAGUGGAAUUCCGAGUGUAGAGGUGAAAUUCGUAGAUAUUCGGAAGAACACCAGUGGCGAAGGCGGCUCACUGGACCGGUAUUGACGCUGAGGUGCGAAAGCGUGGGGAGCAAACAGG